UGGGCAAAGGUGUCUCCAUGACCGGCCCCAGUAAAAACCCUGGGCAGAAACAGGCUGGGUGGUGGUGGGCAAGAGCUGCUGUGUGACCAACAGGGAGGGAGCCUAGAAUGUCUGCUGUGGAUUUCCCAGGAUCCAGUUGUAUGUCCUUGCUGCGUGGCUGUAAUAAAUGCAGGCCAUGUGCACAAAGAUACCCUGAGUCCCCUGAUUCCUUCUAGCCAAUCUUCAACCCUGGAGUGGUCUUGCAACCCGGCAGAGCCAUGCUGUACUCAGUAUGCAGACAGUGAUAACGGGCCAGCCGUGACCUGGAGCCAAGGCCUCCCCAGAAGGCUGGGCAGGCAGGCAGCAUAGGUGCAAACCUGCCUGGACCUCGGCACAGGCCCUGUUGAGCUCGCUUCUGCUCAGACACACGGCUUAUAGCCCCUCAUGGCUCCCUCCAUCCUGAGUGGGUCCCAACGUCAUCAGGCGGCGCGCAGUCCCCGCGGGCGUCUUCUGGUGUAUUCACUGAGUGCUCCGCCCGCCGCCAAGGGGGUGACGUCACGGCAGGUGUGGCUGUCCUCGCCCGCCUGCGAACCUGCCACCACUUUGCAUCUGCUCACGCUUCUGCGAACGCUUCACCGCAGAAGACGUCCGCAGAUGGGAGUCCCUUAUACUCAUCUUCACCCCCCGAGAAUCCGAAUCCCUGGAAGGGCUGAGGAUACCAGGUGAAGAACCCCUGUGCCAAAUGAAGAUCUGUUAGAAGGGCUACGGCGUAAGACCAACCUCCAGGAAGUUCAUGACGGUGAAGAACAAUAGCAGGAAGGCCGGUGCAAAGACGAGGCGGUCCAGGAGGAGCCGCUUGACCCCUGCCCAGGGGACCUCAGAAGGGAUCCAGUGCUCCAUGAAGAGGUAGAAGAAGUGACUCAGUGGCCCUGUGAAGAAGAACCUGAGGCCCCGCCGUUGGGGUGAGCUGGACUCAGUCCUCUGGAUGUGCCCUUCCAGGGUCCAGCUUCACCCCCAAGGUCCAAGUCUGAAAACCUGCCUUCCUGGAGUCCCUCAUCACUGACCACAUAGGUCUACAUGCUCCUUCUAGAAAAUAUGCUUUCUUUGAAUCUCCUCCAAGCAUUUUUUUUGCCUUUCACAGACCAGAUUUGUUCUUGCCUUGGGUUCCCCCAGUCUUCAUGUGACCAGCUCCUUCUCAAUCCCAUCAGCUUGGAGAAUUCUUUGCUGGUUGUCCUGGAUAAUCAACCCACCACUAUCCUAGCCACUCUCAGUUCCAAGUCUUGUUUCAUUUUCUUCAUAGCAUUUUUCACUACAUGUCAUAAUCUUAUUUGAGUAGUCAAAAAAUACGCUCUCCUCAACCCCAAAAGGUAAAUGCCACGAGACAGGAUUGUGUCUAUCUGUUCACUGCUGUGACUGCAGGCCUAGAACAGGGCCUGGCUCAGAGAAGGUGCUCAACAAUAAACAAAUGGACACAUGUCUGGUGUUAGAGCUGCUCACCAAACUCCCUAGAUAAUUAGCAAGAGUGAAACCUAGUAGUGUGUGUCCAUACUGGCACUUCCUACUAUUUGUUCCAAAGUAAACAGAGAACUUGGAAGGGAACUACAUCUGUUGGGACAACAGAUCUGCAGCUCCAGAAAAUUUGGCAUAAAAAGAUAGGAAGGAACCCAUAGAUCUUUCAAUUUCUGACACUGGAAGUCUUUAAACAAGGGGAAUCUCAGUAGUCUUCCCCUUGCUGUAGAAGGUUCAGUGGCCUGGAGCAGGGGUUCCCAGUAGGAGGAGAAUGAAUGAAAAACUGCAAUUGGAUGAGGCUUCCCAGAUGAUACCGAUAUGCAUCCCUCUCUAGGGGCUUACACUUUAAAUAUGUUAUGGAAAAAGCUGUGAUCACUAUAGUUAACAUACAAAGACAAAAUCUGUGAAUUUUGAAUUGAAAAUAAAAAAACUUUGUUGUAAAAGACUUAAAAAUAAUCCACCUAUGCAAAUACUGUCAUUGGCCAGAGAACUCAGAGUGGAUUUAUUUAAAAAACUCCUAAAUCUCUAUGCUUUUGCAAUUCAAAAAGUCAUUCAGAAAUGACAUUUUUCAGGAUACCUAUACACAAUGCUUUAAUUUUUCCAAAUUAGAUUAUUCCAGACUCUUGACCUUGACACCUUACUUUGUCACACUUAGUCUGCUACUGGGUAAACCUUUAUGGAACUCACCCAUAAAUGGCAUAUCUGAGCGGCUCGCUGACAUCUAGUUUUUGAAAGCAGUUUUCUUUUUUCCGUUUCUUCUCAAUCAUCUGGGCCAGGAAAUUCCCAAGUGCUGACAGAAUGCCACUGUGGACAGAGAGCUAAUCAGAAAACAGAAGCAAACAGCAAGGUGUCCAUUUCUGAACAGAAUUAGCAUGGCUGUUCUGAGAUCAUGCUGAGGAUGGGUGGAAAUGAAUCUUUAUUAAAGCAGUGCAAUGUAAGGUCCCUACCUCAAAAAGUGGAGAUGGUAUAACUUAAUACACACACAGGAGCACAGUAAGAUUUCCAAUUGGUGCAGUUUAUCAAUGCUAGUGUCCUGAUCGUGACAUUGUACUAUAAUUUUGCAAAAGGUUACUGUGUGUGGGAGGGAGAUGUGUGAUUAUAAAUGGGCAACCGGAAGUACCCUCAUGAUGGAACUUUCCUGUUUUGACUGUGGUGGAUAUACAAACCUAUACACAAUGAAACUGCAUAGAACUGUGCAUGCACACACAUGUAUGCCAGUACAAGCAAAGCUGGGGAGAUGUUAAUGUGAUCUGUAGACUGUAUCUACACCAGUGUCUUUGUUGUGAUAUUGUACUGUAGUUUUACAAAAUAUUACCAAUGGGAGAAACUGGGCAAAGUGUAAAAGGAGUCUGCCUGUGUUAUUUUUUACAACUGCAUGCUAAUCUACAAUUAUUGUCAUAAAAUUUCAAUUAAAAGGUAGAGAUAGGUCUAGUUGUUCCAAGGCUUGGUCUGUAGCUACCUUCUGACCAUGGCUGCU
Manis javanica (Malayan pangolin) is the source of this 2965-nucleotide long non-coding RNA. RefSeq lists it as uncharacterized. The record is from RefSeq and is a predicted model, not a curated record. NCBI's taxonomy places the organism in Eukaryota, Metazoa, Chordata, Mammalia, Pholidota, Manidae.